RNAcentral lists this ribosomal RNA (370 nucleotides) under Theileria sp. ZC-2014. RNAcentral describes it as "SSU rRNA". It matches the Rfam family "Eukaryotic small subunit ribosomal RNA", at positions 477 to 890 of the family's 1831-position model. Lineage: Eukaryota; Apicomplexa; Aconoidasida; Piroplasmida; Theileriidae. The record is from RNAcentral.
ACAAUCGAGGACUUAUGUCUUGUAUUGGUUGAUGGGAAUUUAAACCUCUUCCAGAGUAUCAAUUGGAGGGCAAGUCUGGUGCCAGCAGCCGCGGUAAUUCCAGCUCCAAUAGCGUAUAUCAAAAUUGUUGCAGUUAAAAAGCUCGUAGUUGAAUUUCUGCUGCAUUGCAUCUUCUUUUUGAUGAGUUGGUGUAUUGUGGCUUAUUUCGGAUGAUACUUGUAUUAUCCGGAUGAUUACUUUGAGAAAAUUAGAGUGCUCAAAGCAGGCUUUUGCCUUGAAUAGUUUAGCAUGGAAUAAUAAAGUAGGACUUUGGUUCUAUUUUGUUGGUUUUAGGUACCAAAGUAAUGGUUAAUAGGGGCAGUUGGGACCG